Gossypium raimondii (Peruvian cotton) is the source of this 105-nucleotide small nucleolar RNA. The record is from RefSeq and is a predicted model, not a curated record. Lineage: Eukaryota; Viridiplantae; Streptophyta; Magnoliopsida; Malvales; Malvaceae.
AAUUCGUGGUGCAGGCAUUUCUAAAUUGACGUUUUAAAACAUUCUCAAGCCUCAUAAAACUUUUUCCUUCCAUCUGUCUAAAGAUAACAAUCUCUUUUCUUAGUU